RNAcentral lists this unclassified non-coding RNA (210 nucleotides) under soil metagenome. RNAcentral describes it as "partial contains 5.8S ribosomal RNA, internal transcribed spacer 2, and large subunit ribosomal RNA". The record is from RNAcentral.
AAGACUAUAGACCUGCGGAGUACCUGCGGAGGGAUCAUUACCGAGUUAUUACUCCAAACCCUUUGUGAACCUUACCAUUGUUCUGUUGCCUCGGCGGGUGCCGGCCCCUAAAGCCGCGCCCGCCGGCAGCACUAAACUCUUGAACUUUAUAGCGGAUUACACUUCUGAAUAAAAUACAAAACAAAUCAAAACUUUCAGCAACGGAUCUCU